GGUAAGGUGGCCGAAGCAGGUGCCGAGUUGUAGCCUCGGUUAUAAAGGUCAACCCCUUUUCUUACCA
RNAcentral lists this transfer RNA (67 nucleotides) under Eurycea paludicola. RNAcentral's name for it is "tRNA-Tyr". Lineage: Eukaryota; Metazoa; Chordata; Amphibia; Caudata; Plethodontidae. The record is from RNAcentral.